ACUCACACACGCAUUGCAGUACUGGGCCCUAUGCAAUGGAGAUCCGCACCUCCUCCUGAAAUUUUUGGAUCCACGGCGGCGUUAGUACUCGGUCCUAGGGAAUCCAUGGCGGCGUGGGCGUCGUCAGGCUCCGGCAAGCUUCGAUUUCUGGCAUCCAUGGCGGACCUCACCGACUCCGCCGUCCUCGGGCUCUGGACCUCGUCACCGUGCGCCGCCGCCGUCCUGCGCCUCGCUCCCUCACGCUGGUGCUCCUCCUAGAUGCUGGUGCUCCUCCAGCUGGUGGCCCAGGUCACCGGCGGUACAGCGCACCGAGUACGGCUACGUCCUCGGGUAAAAACUGCUACGGAGCUCAAUCGAGAGGAGGAUAUGAUGAAGGCUGACUGGACAGUCGAUGAAGAGUCAUGAGUUCAUUGAGUCUGUUGCUGCACCUAACAAGAUUCUCUCAGCUGCUGUGACUGAAGGAAAUCUCUGUUGAUGAGUUGUAGCAGGCUGAUCUGAUGGAUGAUGGGAGUGUUGAAGAAAAUGUGAAUGUAGCUCAUGAUGCUCCGUUUGCUUGCAGGCGCUAAUGGCUGCAUGUACCAACCCAGAGUUGAUGUGAACCCGGCUACAUGAACACCUUUUACUAAUGUGAAAUGCCUCAAUGCCCAUAACCAAAUAGCUAAAGGACUUCAAGCAUCAUCAGUGAAUGCAUUAAAGGUUCAUGUGUCACCAAGAGGAUUAAGUGCCACUUCAAGGACUGCAAGUGCUCAUUUUCAAAGUUCAACCUCUGGUGUGGUGCCAGUACGUGUUUGCUUCCAGUGUGGGUGUCGACGGAAGGUAGGAGGCCAGCCCCACCACCUCUGUUUCUUCUCAUAUGCACUGCGGGCUGCUUUGGAUUCCGUCCGGGUGAAGUGGGUGUUGAUGUGGGCUAGGAUGGGAACGGCAACGUUGAUUCUUGCUUGAACAAGAUGGUCGCUCUCCAUCGCGGAUAGAGGAUGCCAAGGUGAACUCCGUGCUAUGCCUACUUCUGUAUCUUUGUACGGCGGUAUGCUAAAUGUUUGGUCCAUCGACUAAUCGGUGUGUAUGCCAGUUUUUUAAUGUAGUAUAUCAAAUAUUUUUUACCCGUGACCAUUGUAUUGGUUCAGGUGUUCAGUGUUAACAUUCAGCUGUUGGGUUGCUAUCCGAGAAUUCAGAACAAGAAGAAGGCAGAAGUUCAUGUUGAUUAACAUGACAAGACAGUGAAUAUACCCGGUAAAUGCUCCAAAGCAUUAGCCUUCGAUGGAGCUGGCAAAGAAUCUUUGCAAAUGUUACAAAAAAAAACAUAGUAGUGAUAUUACCAGAUGGCACAUAUAGUUUUCCACUUGCAGAAGCAGCCACCUUACUGACUAUGUUUAGCCAACUGCAGAUCAAGUAUUACUUCCUGUUCAAAAAAAAAGUAUUACUUACAAUUCCGAAGUGGUGUAUGUAUAUUAAGAUUCGUACAUGACUGCUCAUUUUGGAACCUUUCUUAAUGUAAGCACCAGGUUACAAUCACAUGGCCAGUGACAUGUGCAAUAAGCGGUAGUUUUGGGCUUCUUUUCUUGUGAGUGCCAGCAUUACAAGGGGCCCUAAUCCAGCCAAAGGAUCAGCAGAAUUGGUUGUCUAAUUCAUGAACAUUUGUCAGAGACAUGGUUAAGAAUUAGAAAUGUAUGCUGGAGUGAGCGGAAACCACAGAUUGUUAUGGAAGCAAAGAGGCAGUCAAAAGAACUGGGGUGUAGACAAAGUUGACGUCUUGCAACAGUUUUGUUGGAGGACUUGACUCAAAGGAGUAUAUUCAGACUGGAUUCUUACCGGCUACAUGGCGUUUUGGCACCGUUAACAGUACAUGGCAGAGCAAUGCUUUGCAUCUACUGGUUAUUGAGAAAUCCGAAAUGCUGAUCCGUAGAGCCUGUAAAUUUCUUUUUGUGGGUAUCUUUGUGUAGAAGUGUAACUGUAACCAGUGACACAGGACAGUCGUGUUGCCGCAGUCCAAUAUUCAGGUACACAUGAAAAAAAGUAUUUCAGAGAUCAUGGUGCUAAUUCAUUUUUUCAUAUUUAUAGUUUUGGUCUUUUUGGUUAAAUAAGAUAGUGCAAAAGAUCCUACAAAAAGGUUGUGCUUUCUAUUUCAAAGUAACAAGUUAUUAUAGAAGUCAAGAAAUUAAAUAAAUCAUACAUUUACCUCCAUAUUUUUUAGGUCCUCGGCAACAAUAUGCCAUCUCAAUAACUUUAGUUAGAUAUGAACGAACGAAACUUUAGUUAGAUAUGAACGAACGAUAUGAUAUUGAAAGUUGUAGUCGUUUUUGAUGAAAUAUCAUAAGAACUAUAGAAGAUCCAACAAAAAUUCGUUCUUCGAAGAUCCAACGAAAAUGCGUUCUUCCUAUUUACAAAGUAAUAGACCACUACAGAACGUAAUGGAUGUGUUAUAUGUUCCAACCAAGCUAGGUAUGAAAGCAAAUUAAUUUACAAGAAAAAAUAUGUUAUACAUUUUCCAAUAUGGCAAGAUCCAGUAAGUCUUCCUCUUUGCUGCAUUUGUCUUACAGUCUGAAAUAGCAACAAUACGUUAAGAAUGGGUCCUCAACAACAAUAUGAUACCUCCAUAUUUUGUAGGUCCUCAGUAACGAUAUGAUAUCUCAUUAACUUUAGUUAUAAAGGAGCAAUAUGAUUCCUAGGUACUGCUAAGUAUAAUUUAUCUUUUGUUUCCAUUGUCGGUUGUAGGGCUGAUUAGAUUUUUCUUCAGAUUGUCCUGCAAAUAUCCCUGUUUUUUCUGAUUUUGUUUGUUCUUUUCUAAAUGGAAUUCACUCUUAUCUCUUCGUGAAGAUUAACCUACAACUGCAAAUGUAUUAUUGUCAACUUUGUUAUAUUUUCUCAUUAUCAUUGUAGUAAGGCAUCAUGACAUCUUAGCUUCACUUUGUUUGAAAUAUCCAGUUGAAUGCUAUCAUGGUUUGCAACAGUAUUGUUUAACAACAGGAAGAACAAGAGUUAAUUGAUCUUCUUACUUACCAUGUUUAGUGCUCAUUCUUUAAGAGGGACAUUACAGCAACAUGUAAGCAAUUGGUGGAUGAUGCAAGCAAAUAUAUAGCUUAAUAAAGCGCCCGUUAUCGAAAAAAUAGCUUAAUGUCCAUCGUGGGACAAUAUUGAGCCAACUCAGGCAUGCUUCUCUCAUGUUCACUACCAUCUUAGAUAUCAUAAGUGCAGACCACUAGCAUGUCAUUUGUGGCAAUGUACGUGUAUCAACUUACCGUGAGAUUGUAUAAAUUUUUGUCAAAUAUGUAAUCAACUGCUAUGCCAAUCUGCCAUUGAACUGAGAAUCGCCUGACAGCAAUUGCUACUACCUUACACCAAAAGACAAUUACAACGGACAACCUUGUGGCACAACAAUUACUACUACCUUUCACCAAAACACAAUUACGUCGGACUACCUUGUGGUGUGGCAUGCCACCGUGCACAUACUCAAUGCACACCCGCAUGUUUUGCCCCCACGUUUUCUCUGACAACAAGACCGAGACCAACGACCAUGGAGACAUUGUUGUGGCUGAUACCAGCAAGAAUCUGGACUAAGAACCGGAUGAUCAACCAUAUGAUCUUUCCUCCUGUUAUCUUAUCCUUAGUCAAAGUGUGAGCUAGGAUAAUCUAACAGGCCAUGUGCUACUGCCGUCUGGCUCUGCCCAGUCUAUGUACAACCUGCCAUCAUGUAACACAUUAGCAUUACCAUGUGUUCUGAUAUAAAUAUUGUUGUUCACUCAAGUAUUACGUCUAAAACUAUAUAUCUUAUCAAUUCCCCAGCGUUACUUAUACCGAGACCCCUGCCAAAGAUACAAGACAACAGGUGCUGUGUUGACAGCUUCAAAGAAGAUGCUUGAACUCAGAAUCCACCCAGUGUCUUCUCCCUGCCCCAUACAGUGUGUUGGCGAUAAACGUUUUCACCAACUAGAAGUCGACAGGAUAUGAGAACAAGUAACUCACAAGGUGCGAUCUAUAAGAGGAGAAUACUUUUUAGUCGUAGUGGCACAAUGUGAUCUAUUCUCUUUUGGAUAGAAAUGUCUGUUGUCUUUAUAAUGCAAUGUGUGUGCCAAUGGUUUACAUGCAGUUUUGGAUUCAAGCACAUUAUGGUCUUGAGUAAAAAUAUUUUAUUGAGUUUACAUAAGUUAAGAUUCUAUGUAUAUUUAAGUUGGUGAAAAUAUCUUCCAUUUGAAUAUAUAUGGUUACAACGUCAUAUGCAGGUUUAGAAACUGUGGUACAAAUCAAAGUAUGAUGUAUGAUGAUUUCUAAGGAAGAUAGUUUCGGUUGAUUUUCCUGUUUUAAUUUACAAUGUGUGUCAUUGAUAUCACCUACUAUUAUUUUUAAUGUACUGCGGUUAACUGCAAUCUCUUGAAAGUAAAGAAGGAAAAGAAACAUGUGACUGCCAAUAUUUUAUGGAAGGUAAUGCAUCUACAUAUUCACAUUCUUUAUGUUUUCAAUUCUCUAUAUUAUCUUCUUUGCUUCGGUGGUGGUUUUCUCUAUUGCCAGUUUACACACUAAGGUGAAAACAAUAAUCAAAAAAAUAAUUGUCCCAUCAAGACCAGUCUAAACAUGUAUUACAAUUUAAGUAGUGUAUCCUGUUUUUCCAUCGAAUUUUCCACCGAUCAGCCACGAUACUGGUGCGGCGUGCCGCCGCGCCGA
Non-coding RNA from Lolium perenne, 4656 nucleotides. The record is from RefSeq and is a predicted model, not a curated record. Lineage: Eukaryota; Viridiplantae; Streptophyta; Magnoliopsida; Poales; Poaceae.